Molecule: RNA transcript, 2296 nt
Organism: Rosa rugosa (rugosa rose)
Lineage: Eukaryota; Viridiplantae; Streptophyta; Magnoliopsida; Rosales; Rosaceae
Exons: 8
Source: RefSeq, a predicted model, not a curated record
CAAAAAAAAGAAACUCGAUCUGAAAGGAACUUCGUGCUGAUUCGAGUCGGUGGAGGAGGUGGCGACUACAAGGCGACUCGCAACAAGGUCUAACUCGGAGUAAUGGUGUGAGACAUAUCAUGGGUUCAGUGGUUAGUGAGGUUAGUUGAAUUUGGAGGUUACUUGAUCCUUAUUUUUUCUAAUUUCUUGUUAUGCUUGUGUCUUGGGUUGGGAGAUUUUGGGAAAAAUUUGAUAGCACUGAAUGUCUUAUUGCAGCAUGUUGAGGUUCCGAACCCAUUUUUGAUAGGAAGAUGUUUCGCAUGUAUUGGGAUUUGGGGCAUGGGGUGGAAUUGGAAAAGUAGCGAUUGCAUAUAUAUCUCUGUGGGUUCUUGUAAUUGAACAUGAUCUGCCAGCUUCUAGUCUUAGUAGUAAACAAGUAGGAAGUACUAAACUAGAUGGUGCCUAAAUUGAAUUAAUCUUACACAUGUAGUGAUACUAAUUUGGGCUUAAAAAUAUAAACUUUUAUUGAAGUCAUUAGUGAGAUUGAUAUGCCAUUGUCUAUAUUUUGCAGUGUUAAUGAAUUGAUGCCUCUUGAUACGAGUUUACAACUGGAAGUCUAUUCGAUUUCUCUUUUGUCUAGAACCACUUCUUUUUUGCUGUUGGGCGCUUCCUAUUUGCUGAUUUCGGUGAGUAGUUUGUGUUCUAUUUUGUAUUGGAAUGGUAUUUUUUUUUUUGUUUUGAUUUUGGAAGAUUCAGGUCCAAUCGAUUUUUAAUUUUUUUAAAUUUUGUUUCAGCUUUUUCUGUUCACUCUCUUCCCGUUGCUGUUGCUGCUCUCCGGUUUUGUUGUUCACUCUGCAUGCAUCGAUUGGCUCUUCUUUGCCUAUUUGGGUGAGUUGCUUCUUAUGUUUUUUUAUAUUUUCUUUUAUUUUUUACUCUUGAAUUUGUUUUUUAGCUUUUUUAGUUCUUCAUAUUUUUUGUUCAAAUCCUUUUGAGUUUGGUUAUUUGCAUAAUUGGUUUGUCUUAUAUGCAUAUGGUGGAUGUUUGAGCAUAGAAUAAAUUAGACAGUUGAUGCAUAUGAUGCACAAACCACAAAUUGCAGAAUGUUUGAAUCAUUUGUUAAAUGAUAUUUUAGUUCCCAUGCUUUUUUAGUUCCAUAUUCUGGUUGUGGAUGAUAGCAUCAUACAUAGGGUCGGCAAACACAAUAUCUGCACUGUUUCAGAUUUGCGAUCACCAUCAGUUGUCGCAAGGAUUGGGAGUCUAUGCAAAGGAGUAUCUGGAUUAUUCUUUUGCCUCUGUUCCUGGUUUUGUUGCUUGGUGUUAGUUUGGUGUCCUAUUGUUGUUCAGAUAUUGGGAACAGUGAGCGAUCAAAAUCUACAAAUUUUCUAGACUCAGUAUGAAGCGAACUAUUGCACGAUACAACAAGGGUGAUGAGUCUUCAGAGACCGCUCUGGUAGAAUCAAGGGCAGAGCCUACCCUAUGUGCAGAAAAAUUCCAAGACAUUUGACAGAAGCAUCAUUGUCAGGUGCAGGAGUGUCUACAGUAGCAGCUCUUGCCAUGAUGUUUUUACUUUGGAAUGGUAGGGAAAGCUUUUUUGAAGCAGCUGAAAGUGUUCCUGAGGUGAAUUUUUUCAACUUAUUUCUCUGUUAUUUAGAUUUGGUUGUAUGGAAUUCAAUUGUGAUUUGUGUUGUUAACGAUUUUGUGAGAGUUUUGGAUGAAAGAAAGCAGGGAAAGUUUUGAUUCUCUCUGAUAUGGAAGUACUCCUUGAUUAAUGAUUAGGAUUACUUCUGCUACCCUCUUGCAAUUUCAAAAUCGAAGUAGAAUUAAACUUCUGGAUUCUGCCUUACAUGACAGAUUUUGUCUGACCACUUUGGUGGCAAUUUUUGCAUCCCUUGGAUUUUCAGUUGAUGCCAUGGAGAUUGGUGAAUAAGCUUGAGCUUGAUGAGCUCAAGUUAGAACAUCAUUCACCAUAUGUAUCAGUUCAAAAUCCGUCUGCGAAUUUCAGCAUUGGUGGAUAACACACAGUCACAUCAUGAAAAGGAAAAUUAAAAUAUGCCAAGGGAUCCAUUCACUUCCAAUUGUCAUGACCGAGACAGAGAGGAAGACUUGAGAAAUACAGAGAUAAGGCGUGCUUAUCCCAGAUUGCACAUUUUACAUCAGUUUCCAGAACCUUCCUACACCAUGCAUCCUCUGCAAAUAGAAGUUCUGUAGAUUUGUAAACUUCGGCAUUAAUAGUACAGGAUGUACUCCUUUUCUAAUGAUUGCUAUUGUAUAGUAUAUUUUAGGAGGAUUUAUUAACGAGGUAUGUUCAGAACUCUAA